AACGCGAAGAACCUUACCUGGGCUAGACAACGGCGGACCGUCCUAGAAAUAGGAUCUUCCCUUCGGGGACCGCCGGUUCAGGUGCUGCAUGGCUGUCGUCAACUCGUGCCGUGAGGUGUUGGGUUAAGUCCCGCAACGAGCGCAACCCUCGUCCUUAGUUGCCACCAUUUAGUUGGGCACUCUAGGGAGACUGCCGGCGUUAAGCCGGAGGAAGGUGGGGACGACGUCAAGUCAUCAUGGCCCUUAUGUCCAGGGCCACACACGUGCUACAAUGGGCGGUACAAAGGGUCGCGAACCCGCGAGGGGGAGCCAAUCCCAAAAAGCCGCUCUCAGUUCGGAUUGGAGUCUGCAACUCGACUCCAUGAAGUUGGAAUCGCUAGUAAUCGCGGAUCAGCACGCCGCGGUGAAUACGUUCCCGGG
This 420-nucleotide ribosomal RNA is filed under the name uncultured Myxococcales bacterium. Its description in RNAcentral is "bacterial SSU rRNA". It matches the Rfam family "Bacterial small subunit ribosomal RNA", at positions 958 to 1378 of the family's 1533-position model. The record is from RNAcentral. Lineage: Bacteria; Pseudomonadati; Myxococcota; Myxococcia; Myxococcales.